GUAGGUGUAGUUUAACUCAAAACCCCAGAUUGUGAUUCUGAAAAUGGAGGUUAAAUUCCCCCCGCCUACC
RNAcentral lists this transfer RNA (70 nucleotides) under Sphyraena pinguis (red barracuda). RNAcentral describes it as "tRNA-His". It matches the Rfam family "tRNA". From Rfam's summary of the family: Transfer RNA (tRNA) molecules are approximately 80 nucleotides in length. Their secondary structure includes four short double-helical elements and three loops (D, anti-codon, and T loops). Lineage: Eukaryota; Metazoa; Chordata; Actinopteri; Sphyraenidae. The record is from RNAcentral.